GUUGUAGUAAAUCCUGCGACCAGGUUUGACAGCCUGAAUGUACAUGCGGACAACCGCUAACUCCGUAAUGCGGUAUUUUU
RNAcentral lists this small RNA (80 nucleotides) under Salmonella enterica subsp. enterica serovar Newport. RNAcentral's name for it is "isrK". Lineage: Bacteria; Pseudomonadati; Pseudomonadota; Gammaproteobacteria; Enterobacterales; Enterobacteriaceae. The record is from RNAcentral. RNAcentral also lists the same sequence under 1 other name.